AUGGAACAAAGCGACAACAGAGACCAGGAAAGAGAUGCCAUAUACAUUGAAAGGGUGAAUAAGCCCCGUAGACAGGAAUUUUUUUGUGGAAGCCGAAAAAUCCGUCUUGGUUCCUCCCACCGAAGAAGGGAGAAAAAAAACGAGAGAUUGUUGAUGUACAUUAUUUGUAAACCUGUACAGUUUUUCCUUUUCGGAGCAGAAUCAUCUUUGGCUGAAUGGUUGCCAAAAAUUCUCAGUUUCUGUUACUACGAUUUGACUCAGUUGCAAUACGUUUUGGAGAGUAGUCGACACUUUGCAAGUUAUCAGCUCAUGAUUUUAUUUUCUCGUUCAGAUUAG
RNAcentral lists this ribosomal RNA (336 nucleotides) under Triticum aestivum (bread wheat). RNAcentral's name for it is "partial small subunit ribosomal RNA". The record is from RNAcentral. Lineage: Eukaryota; Viridiplantae; Streptophyta; Magnoliopsida; Poales; Poaceae.